RNAcentral lists this ribosomal RNA (1584 nucleotides) under human gut metagenome. RNAcentral describes it as "bacterial LSU rRNA". It matches the Rfam family "Bacterial large subunit ribosomal RNA", at positions 1025 to 2618 of the family's 2925-position model. The record is from RNAcentral.
ACCCAGACCACCAGCUAAGGUCCCUAAUUAUAACUAAGUGGGAAAGGAGGUGGAGAUUCACAAACAACCAGGAGGUUGGCUUAGAAGCAGCCAUACAUUUAAAGAGUGCGUAAUAGCUCACUGGUCGAGAGUCUCUGCGCCGACAAUGUAACGGGGCUAAGUUAUAAACCGAAGCUGUGGAAUUGCGUAAGCAAUUGGUAGGAGAGCGUUCUGUAGGCCGUUGAAGGAGAAGCGUAAGCAACUCUGGAGGUAUCAGAAGUGAGAAUGCAGGAAUAAGUAGCGAGAAAGGGGGCGAGAAUCCCCCUCGCCGGAAGACCAAGGUUUUCAGGGUAAAGCUUGUCUUCCCUGAGUAAGCCGGGACCUAAGCCGAGGCUAAAAUGCGUAGGCGAAUGGAAAACAGAUUAAUAUUUCUGUGCCAGUUAUAUUUUGUGAUGGAGGGACGCAGAAGGGUAUGUGCGCGGGAGAACGGAAGUUCCCGUAAAAGCAUGUAGAGUGGUCUAGUAGGAAAAUCCGCUAGAUUAGACUUGAGGUGUGAUAUAUAGUCGUAAGAUGAAUGCACAAAUCCCACGCUGCCGAGAAAAGCUUCUAACGUUAAGGUAUAACUGCCCGUACCCGAAACCGACACAGGUGGUCAGGAUGAGAAAUCUAAGGCGGACAGGCUAACUCUCGUUAAGGAACUCUGCAAAAUUGCCCCGUAACUUUGGGAGAAGGGGUGCCCCUGGAUGUUAACAGCUACGCGUUGUAAAGCAUUUGGGGGUCGCAGUGAAGAGGCUCAAGCAACUGUUUAACAAAAACACAGGUCUAUGCUAAGCUGUAAGGCGAUGUAUAUGGGCUGACACCUGCCCAGUGCCGGAAGGUUAAGAGGAGGAGUGAGAGCUCCGAAUUGAAGCCCCGGUGAACGGCGGCCGUAACUAUAACGGUCCUAAGGUAGCGAAAUUCCUUGUCGGGUAAGUUCCGACCUGCACGAAUGGUGUAAUGAUUUGAGCGCUGUCUUGACGGGAGGCCUGGUGAAAUUGUACUACCGGUGAAGAUACCGGUUACCUACAGUAGGACGGAAAGACCCCAUGGAGCUUUACUGUAGCUUGGUAUUGGGUUUUGGCAUUGCAUGUAUAGGAUAGUUGGGAAACUAUGAAGAUAUGGCGCUAGCUGUAUUGGAGUUGUCGGUGGAAUACCAACCAUUCAAUGUCGAAAUUCUAAUCUGUGGUUUGUAGCCACGGAAACAGUGCUAGGUGGGCAGUUUGACUGGGGCGGUCGCCUCCGAAAGAGUAACGGAGGCGUUCAAAGGUUCUCUCAGGUUGGAUGGAAAUCAACCGCAGAGUGCAAUGGCAUAAGAGAGCUUAACUGCGAGACUGACGGGUCGAGCAGGUGCGAAAGCAGGACAUAGUGAUCCGGCGAUUCCGAAUGGAAGGGUCGUCGCUCAACGGAUAAAAGCUACCCUGGGGAUAACAGGCUGAUUUUGCCCGAGAGUCCAUAUCGACGGCAAAGUUUGGCACCUCGAUGUCGGCUCAUCGCAUCCUGGGGCUGGAGAAGGUCCCAAGGGUUGGGCUGUUCGCCCAUAAAAGCACCUUAGAGAUCGGAAGAGCG